This is a non-coding RNA of Nomia melanderi (Alkali bee), 758 nucleotides long. The record is from RefSeq and is a predicted model, not a curated record. Lineage: Eukaryota; Metazoa; Arthropoda; Insecta; Hymenoptera; Halictidae.
CUCACGUCAGCGACAUGGAAACGUACGUAGUGAAUAUUGUCAGCAAAAUUGUUGAAAAUAAAAAAAUGACAAGCUAACUGUUGCCUUAUGAUUUAUUUCGUAACUAUGAUCGAUACUACGUCGUUAAUUUAUUAAGAGAAAAAAAUUUUAUGUUUAGUGGUUAUGUUUACUUUUAAGCAGAGGCAAACUUUCGAAGAAAGGACGUAAUAGUUUACAAACAAAGAGAACAAUAAAAUUGAAUAAUUCCUGACAUGUGAUUGGUCCAACGGAUGUCAAGAUGACUUUUGUCAUGCGAGAGUCUAUAUUACCAUACGUGCACUCAACUUGCACUCAAACUGGAUGAAACACGUUCCACUAUAAUUACAUUAAUAAAUGUAAUCGAAUUGAUUUAAUUAAUUUAGAAAAUCAUUUAAUGAUCUAUGUACACAUUCGACGGUGCACGCCAUCUAAUGCGACGUUCAAGCUUACAGGUACUCAUAGGUGGCAUUUUAAAUUGAGGAGAAAGUAUUUAGAAAUUACAUUUGUGUAAUUCAUUGCGUCUGAAGCUUGGAACGUUAUGGAAAUUUAUUUUAUCAUAAUAAAAUUAUAGAAUGUCGAAUUAAAUUAGUUAAUUAUUAAAUUAGUUGACUCUGUUUUUACAGAGCAAUAAUUUAAAUAAAAUAAAAAUUUACUUUUUGUAACUUAUAUAGUAGAAUAAAUAUUCAAAAUAUUCAAUUCUAGUUCAAUAAUAACAAUAAUAAAGGAACAUCUUUUUUUAU